AAAUUGAAGAGUUUGAUCAUGGCUCAGAUUGAACGCUGGCGGCAGGCCUAACACAUGCAAGUCGAACGGUAACAGGAAGCAGCUUGCUGUUUCGCUGACGAGUGGCGGACGGGUGAGUAAUGUCUGGGAAACUGCCUGAUGGAGGGGGAUAACUACUGGAAACGGUGGCUAAUACCGCAUAACGUCGCAAGACCAAAGAGGGGGACCUUCGGGCCUCUUGCCAUCAGAUGUGCCCAGAUGGGAUUAGCUUGUUGGUGAGGUAACGGCUCACCAAGGCGACGAUCCCUAGCUGGUCUGAGAGGAUGACCAGCCACACUGGAACUGAGACACGGUCCAGACUCCUACGGGAGGCAGCAGUGGGGAAUAUUGCACAAUGGGCGCAAGCCUGAUGCAGCCAUGCCGCGUGUAUGAAGAAGGCCUUCGGGUUGUAAAGUACUUUCAGCGGGGAGGAAGGUGUUG
This 459-nucleotide ribosomal RNA is filed under the name Salmonella enterica. RNAcentral's name for it is "bacterial SSU rRNA". It matches the Rfam family "Bacterial small subunit ribosomal RNA", at positions 1 to 456 of the family's 1533-position model. The record is from RNAcentral. RNAcentral also lists the same sequence under 2 other names. Lineage: Bacteria; Pseudomonadati; Pseudomonadota; Gammaproteobacteria; Enterobacterales; Enterobacteriaceae.